Molecule: ribosomal RNA, 404 nt
Filed under: uncultured bacterium
Lineage: Bacteria
Description: partial 16S ribosomal RNA
Rfam family: Bacterial small subunit ribosomal RNA
Source: RNAcentral
AUUGAACGCUGGCGGCAGGCCUAACACAUGCAAGUCGAGCGAGCGGCGGAAGGGUGAGUAAUGCCUGGGAAUUGCACAGUCGAGGGGGAUAACAGUUGGAAACGACUGCUAAUACCGCAUACGAUUGGACCGCUCAGGUGGGAUUAGCUAGUUGGUGAGGUAAUGGCUCACCAAGGCGACGAACCCUAGCUGGUGUGAGAGGAUGACCAGCCAGACUGGAACUGAGAAACGGCCCAGACUCCUACGUGAGGUAGCAGUGGGGAAUAUUUCUCAAUGGGGGAAACCCUGAUGCAGCCAUGCCGAGUGUGUGAAGAAGGCCUUCGGGUUGGAAAGCACUUUCAGCGAGGAGGCGUUACUCGCAGAAGAAGCACCGGCUAACUCCGUGCCAGCAGCCGCGGUAAUUC